RNAcentral lists this ribosomal RNA (465 nucleotides) under Vreelandella stevensii. RNAcentral's name for it is "partial 16S ribosomal RNA". It matches the Rfam family "Bacterial small subunit ribosomal RNA", at positions 338 to 795 of the family's 1533-position model. Lineage: Bacteria; Pseudomonadati; Pseudomonadota; Gammaproteobacteria; Oceanospirillales; Halomonadaceae. The record is from RNAcentral.
CCUACGGGUGGCAGCAGUGGGGAAUAUUGGACGAUGGGGGGAACCCUGAUCCAGCCAUGCCGCGUGUGUGAAGAAGGCCCUCGGGUUGUAAAGCACUUUCAGUGAGGAAGAACGCCUGGUGGUUAAUACCCAUCAGGAAAGACAUCACUCACAGAAGAAGCACCGGCUAACUCCGUGCCAGCAGCCGCGGUAAUACGGAGGGUGCGAGCGUUAAUCGGAAUUACUGGGCGUAAAGCGCGCGUAGGUGGCUUGAUAAGCCGGUUGUGAAAGCCCUGGGCUCAACCUGGGAACGGCAUCCGGAACUGUCAAGCUAGAGUGCAGGAGAGGAAGGUAGAAUUCCCGGUGUAGCGGUGAAAUGCGUAGAGAUCGGGAGGAAUACCAGUGGCGAAGGCGGCCUUCUGGACUGACACUGACACUGAGGUGCGAAAGCGUGGGUAGCAAACAGGAUUAGAUACCCCAGUAGUC